GGAUGGGUGGCCGAGUGGUUGAAGGCACUGGUCUUGAAAACCAGCAGGCGCGCAAGCGUCUCGGGGGUUCGAAUCCCUCCCCAUCCGCCA
This 90-nucleotide transfer RNA is filed under the name Hyphomicrobiales bacterium. RNAcentral describes it as "tRNA-Ser". It matches the Rfam family "tRNA". From Rfam's summary of the family: Transfer RNA (tRNA) molecules are approximately 80 nucleotides in length. Their secondary structure includes four short double-helical elements and three loops (D, anti-codon, and T loops). Lineage: Bacteria; Pseudomonadati; Pseudomonadota; Alphaproteobacteria; Hyphomicrobiales. RNAcentral also lists the same sequence under 2 other names. The record is from RNAcentral.